Alnus glutinosa is the source of this 1378-nucleotide long non-coding RNA. RefSeq lists it as uncharacterized. NCBI's taxonomy places the organism in Eukaryota, Viridiplantae, Streptophyta, Magnoliopsida, Fagales, Betulaceae. The record is from RefSeq and is a predicted model, not a curated record. The transcript is spliced from 2 exons.
UAUUCAAAUUUACAUAUUUAUUAGGGUGUUUUGAUGUAAUAUAUCAUGACUAGGGGAUCAUCUCUUUCACUUGUCCAAUUGAAACUAAUAUAGUUCUUACCAAUACACAUGUUUUGCUAUAAACCAGAAGUUAACAUAAAAAAAUAUUAGAAUCUUGAAAUUUUCGCAAAAAGAUAUUACUUACCCCAAAAGGCACUUCACUUGAAAGCAGUCAUAGUUCCAAAAGUCACAUUAACAACACUUAUUUGAAGUAAAUUAAUUUAAGAAUGAAUCUAGCUAUUUCGUACAAAAUAUAAGGGCUAAGCCUUAAUAAUCCUUGCUUUUAUACAUCAAACUAAAAAUUUAGAAAGCGGAAGAAAAUCCUUGGCUUGCAAAUAUAUUAGAAAACUUUUGCCAGUGAUGAUAGAGUUGCUUAUCCUUAUUCUCCUAAGAGUGCAAGCUAAUGGCCUUGCCCAUAUCUCUUUCCACCCCUCUUCGCCUCUCACUCUGCUUCCUCAUGUUUCUAAACUUGAUAAAGUUCAAACUAAUGACCUUGCCACUACCACUUUUGGUCCCUCUCCUAUGCCCAUCAUGUAUCCUCACUUCUCUGAACAUGAUGCAGUUCAAGGAAAAAAACAUACAUGCAUUGAAAAUGCAAUUAAAGUUUGUAAAGAACCAUGGCCACUUCACCGCUUGUCUCGACAUCACUUGAAAAAUGUUAUAGCUUGUAGUUUUUUUCUUCAUGGAUUAUGUUGGAGGAAACAAAGUGGGGAAAGGACGAUGGGUUUUAAGAAUAUAGGGUGCAUAAGAACUUGCCUAGAUCGUCAUCUAAUCGAUUUGGAGACCUGUUUCAAACAAUGUUACACAAGUCAUUUCUAGAAGCACUCGAAUGUCGCCUAUACACAGAAUCCCAAGUGUAAAGUCUGGUGUUAUUUUUUCUCCGACCAGAUCAGCAAUUUUGGCCUCUCCGUUAUGCAUCCAUCUAUCUACCUCUAUGAUGUGACGUUCAUCUCCUUCCUAGCCAUUGCUUAUGAUUGCUGCUUGUAUUUUUGCUUUGAAUAAAAGUUUUAUUCUCUUUAGAUUUGCUCUUAUGGGCGAUCUAUGAAAUGAAAGUUAGUUAGGUGUGAGGGUAUAUCUCUCACGGCAUGAAUAGUUCGGUGUGAGGGGUUAUCUCUAACGCCGGUUUAAAUAAAAUUUUCUAGGAUAUUUGGUUACCAUUGUCUUAGAUUUAGUCUGCUUGGGACAGAUCUGCUCUUUAACUAUUUUUGUACAUGGAUUAACGGAAGAUAAAAGUCAUAGAUAACACUUUAUUGUAAGAAUUUUGUUUGUAUCUAUGACUAUGUAACUUCAAAUCAUGUGGCUAUGAUUUUGCAGAGUUUAAUGCUUUGUGAUGUAAGAA